AUCCAACAGAGGAGUCCCGAAUGGGACGAAAUGCGCACCCUGGAU
Trichobilharzia regenti is the source of this 45-nucleotide non-coding RNA. NCBI's taxonomy places the organism in Eukaryota, Metazoa, Platyhelminthes, Trematoda, Strigeidida, Schistosomatidae. The record is from Rfam.